Molecule: ribosomal RNA, 393 nt
Filed under: uncultured bacterium
Lineage: Bacteria
Description: bacterial SSU rRNA
Rfam family: Bacterial small subunit ribosomal RNA
Source: RNAcentral
GACGAACGCUGGCGGCGUGCUUAACACAUGCAAGUCGAGCGGUAAGGCCCUUUCGGGGGUACACGAGCGGCGAACGGGUGAGUAACACGUGGGUGACCUGCCCUCAGCUCUGGGAUAAGCCUGGGAAACCGGGUCUAAUACUGGAUAUGACUCCAUGACGCAUGUUGUGGGGUGGAAAGCCUUGUGCGGCUGAGGAUGGGCCCGCGGCCUAUCAGCUUGUUGGUGGGGUGAGGCCUACCAAGGCGACGACGGGUAGCCGGCCUGAGAGGGCGACCGGCCACACUGGGACUUGAGACACGGCCCAGACUCCUACGGGAGGCAGCAGUGGGGAAUCUUGCGCAAUGGGCGAAAGCCUGACGCAGCGACGCCGCGUGAGGGAUGACGGCCUCGGUU